UACGGGAGGCAGCAGUGGGGAAUCUUGCACAAUGGAGGAAACUCUGAUGCAGCGAUGCCGCGUGAGUGAAGAAGGCCCCUGGGUUGUAAAGCUCCUUCGUCGGGGAAGAAAAUGACUGUACCCGAAUAAGAAGGUCCGGCUAACUUCGUGCCAGCAGCCGCGGUAAUACU
RNAcentral lists this ribosomal RNA (170 nucleotides) under uncultured bacterium. RNAcentral's name for it is "partial 16S ribosomal RNA". It matches the Rfam family "Bacterial small subunit ribosomal RNA", at positions 340 to 527 of the family's 1533-position model. The record is from RNAcentral.